CAGAAACAAAAUAGAUUUAGUGUGAAAAUCCUAAGAUCAGAGAGGCAGCCUUCACUUGGCCAAUGAAGAGGCUUCAUUGCAUUGUACACUGGUGUAAAAGGGUGUUCCGUGAUUCCCACUGGUGUAAGAAGGGUGCUCCAUGAUUCCCACUGUCCCCAGAGAGCAAGGCAGGAGCCACCUUGACACAAUCAAGCUUAUGUAGACACUGCAGGAACUGGGAGAUCUGAGCAGGUAUGCAUUCAUGGUCCUGACAGACACCUGCCACUGGACCAAGGCUUUGCCUAGCUGAGCUAGAGCAAAAGGCAUAAAAAGCAUUCUAAC
Molecule: long non-coding RNA, 321 nt
Filed under: Marmota monax (woodchuck)
Lineage: Eukaryota; Metazoa; Chordata; Mammalia; Rodentia; Sciuridae
Source: RNAcentral